RNAcentral lists this ribosomal RNA (466 nucleotides) under uncultured bacterium. RNAcentral's name for it is "partial 16S ribosomal RNA". It matches the Rfam family "Bacterial small subunit ribosomal RNA", at positions 28 to 507 of the family's 1533-position model. The record is from RNAcentral.
GACGAACGCUGGCGGCGUGCUUAACACAUGCAAGUCGAACGGAAAGGCCCUGCUUGCAGGGUACUCGAGUGGCGAACGGGUGAGUAACACGUGGGUGAUCUGCCCUGCACUUCGGGAUAAGCUUGGGAAACUGGGUCUAAUACCGGAUAGGAACCAUCUUUAGUGUGGUGGUUGGAAAGUUUUUUCGGUGUAGGAUGAGCUCGCGGCCUAUCAGCUUGUUGGUGGGGUAAUGGCCUACCAAGGCGGCGACGGGUAGCCGGCCUGAGAGGGUGUACGGCCACAUUGGGACUGAGAGACGGCCCAGACUCCUACGGGAGGCAGCAGUGGGGAAUAUUGGACAAUGGGCGCAAGCCUGAGGCAGCGACGCCGCGUGGGCGAUGAAGGCCUUCGGGUUGUAAACUCCUUUCGCUAGGGACGAAGCUUUGUUGUGACGGUACCUAGAUAAGAAGCACCGGCUAACUACGUG